Molecule: transfer RNA, 72 nt
Filed under: Loxodonta africana (African savanna elephant)
Lineage: Eukaryota; Metazoa; Chordata; Mammalia; Proboscidea; Elephantidae
Rfam family: tRNA
About the family: Transfer RNA (tRNA) molecules are approximately 80 nucleotides in length.
Source: Rfam by way of RNAcentral
CCCUGGGUGGUACAAAUAGUUAAUGCGUUCAGCUGCUAACUGAAAGGGUGGUGGUUCCAGUCUACCCAGGGG